AUUCCCAGCAUCAGGAAGGCGCACUAAAAUUGCACCGGUACAGAAAAGAUUAGCAUGGCCACAGCACAAGGAUGGUAUACAAAUUCAUGAAGUGUUCCAUAUUAAA
RNAcentral lists this small nuclear RNA (106 nucleotides) under Castor canadensis (American beaver). Lineage: Eukaryota; Metazoa; Chordata; Mammalia; Rodentia; Castoridae. The record is from RNAcentral.